Molecule: ribosomal RNA, 403 nt
Filed under: uncultured bacterium
Lineage: Bacteria
Description: partial 16S ribosomal RNA
Rfam family: Bacterial small subunit ribosomal RNA
Source: RNAcentral
AUUGAACGCUGGCGGCAGGCCUAACACAUGCAAGUCGAGCGAGCGGCGGACGGGUGAGUAAUGUAUGGGGACUGCCCGAUCGAGGGGGCUAACUUCUGGAAACGGUUGCUAAUACCGCCUACUAUCGGUUCACCCCUAUGGGAUUAUCUAGUAGGUGGGGUAAAGGCUCACCUAGGCGACGAUCUGUCGCUGGUCUGAGAGGAUGAUUAGCGACACGGGGAGUGAGAAAGGGCCCAGACUCCAACGGAGGCAGCAGUGGGGAAUAGUGCACAAUGGGUGAAAGCCUGAUGCAGGCAUGCCGCGGGUAUGAAGAAGGCCUUAGGGUUGUAAAGUACUUUCAGCGGGGAGGCGUUACCAGGAGAAGAAGCACCGGCUAACUCCGAGCCAGCAGCCGCGGUAAUAC